Molecule: ribosomal RNA, 253 nt
Filed under: uncultured bacterium
Lineage: Bacteria
Description: partial 16S ribosomal RNA
Rfam family: Bacterial small subunit ribosomal RNA
Source: RNAcentral
UACGAAGGGGGCUAGCGUUGCUCGGAUUCAUUGGGCGUAAAGAGCGUGUAGGCGGCUUUGCAAGUCCGUUGUGAAAACUCGAGGCUCAACCUCGAGACGCCGGUGGAAACUGCAAAGCUAGAGUCCGGAAGAGGAGAGUGGAAUUCCUGGUGUAGCGGUGAAAUGCGCAGAUAUCAGGAAGAACACCCGUGGCGAAGGCAGCCUUCUGGGCCAAUACUGACGCUCAUGCACGAAAGCGUGGGGAGCAAACAGG